UAGGGAAUCUUCCGCAAUGGACGAAAGUCUGACGGAGCAACGCCGCGUGAGUGAAGAAGGUUUUCGGAUCGUAAAACUCUGUUGUUAAAGAAGAACAAGGAUGAGAGUAACUGCUCAUCCCCUGACGGUAUUUAACCAGAAAGCCACGGCUAACUACGUG
Molecule: ribosomal RNA, 160 nt
Filed under: uncultured bacterium
Lineage: Bacteria
Description: partial 16S ribosomal RNA
Rfam family: Bacterial small subunit ribosomal RNA
Source: RNAcentral